UGGAGAAGUUACAUGAAGCUCCUGAAGUUGCGUCUCCUGUCCUUGCAUUUUUGAAGUAAUGCAGAAAUAAUAUGGAAAAGAGAUGCUUGUUAUGAGAAAGAAAAUACAUCUACUGAAAAGCCAAUUUUCCAGUACAUGGCAGUUCCGUUAAAAAAUUUCCAAGGAGACUUCAUCAGCUCAGCUCAAGUUCUUCUACAGGUUUUCUUAAUGCCUCUGACACGUCACUUCAUUUUUCUAUCCCAGAGGCAUAUUUGAAAAUAGGAAAGGAGGCCGAUUUGCCAUUGUCUGCAGCUAUCUUAGACAGUCCCAGAGCUUUCUUAAAGUGCUUCUCUCUAACUAAAAGGAUGCCUAUUCCAGCUUUAUCAUUCAAAACCCGUUAGAGCUGUCUGCUGGUUGAAAUACAUGGUCACCCAAGGGACUGCAGCACCACUACCACCCCAAGGGGACUAGUACAUUCAUUCCAAUGAAAUUAAGCUUUGGUAAAGAAAUCCAACAAAGUGCUCCAACCCUAGACCUCAAUAGUUUUGCCAGGUGGCAAUUUCUUGGAGUGUCUCAUGACUGCUGAUGAAUCUACAUUCACAAGCAGUGAGCAUGAACAGUGUUAUCCCAGAUAAAUCUAAGAAGAACACUGACAGAAUAUCUGGCACAUGCUUUUGUAUGAAUCCCCAUGCCUACUGAAAAUCUCAGCUGUGUUCUGGGUGAAGAAGUCAAAUGGGACAGACUAGAACUGUCCUGAGACAGCAGAAGGCAACAACCUUACUGCUCAGGAAACAAAGGCAGCAAGACAAACCUUCACCAGUAGUGAAAAAGGCAUCGUUAAUAUGAAGCAGAUUUGACAGGAGUUACGGUAGAAUGAUUCAACAUUAGCAGAUUUUUUCCUGGCUUCCUUUAGAGUGAUAGCUCUAAUAACAUUGCAGAAUGAGCAGGAAAAAAUGAAGAACAACAACACCAAGGAAAAACCCUGCUGGGGUUUAAGCUCAAGAGCUUCUUAUUUUUUUUUUUUCAAGUCAGUUAUAUUUAGUUUUUCAAUGCCUUGGAAUGCUAUCAAAUAAUAAAAUUUCUUUCAUCUACAAAUUAAGUAAAUAGAUAAAGUGAUUUCAACCCCAACCUUUAGGAUCACCAUAGGUGAGUGUCUUGCUUGAACAGUGAGUGGUAUUUUUAAAGGCAACAAGACCAAUAAUAUAUGCAGACUGGUUCCAAAGAUAUGCAAUUACAAACAUUUCCUGCAGAGCACAUAAGGUCUGUAGGUUUGUAAGUGCCUCUUAGCUUCUAUAUUUUAAUCACUGGAUUUGAAAUAGCCUGAAAUAAACCUAUAUGUCCAACAGAAGAGCUGAAUGUUUUUUAUGGAAGUGGAGAGGCGAUUUUGUAACCUUACUUUCUCAAAGACAAAACUGUAGUC
This is a non-coding RNA of Meleagris gallopavo (turkey), 1399 nucleotides long. The record is from RefSeq and is a predicted model, not a curated record. NCBI's taxonomy places the organism in Eukaryota, Metazoa, Chordata, Aves, Galliformes, Phasianidae.